AGAGUUUGAUCCUGGCUCAGAACGAACGCUGGCGGCGUGCUUAACACAUGCAAGUCGAACGGGACCUUCGGGUCUAGUGGCGGACGGGUGAGUAAUACAUAGGAAAUCUGCCUUUAAGUGGGGGACAACCAGGCGAAAGUUUGGCUAAUACCGCGUAAUGUCGUUGGUUGAGAUACUGACGAAGAAAGAUUUAUCGCUUUUAGAGGAGCCUAUGGUUGAUUAGCUAGUUGGUGAGGUAAAGGCCCACCAAGGCGACGAUCAAUAGCUGGUCUGAGAGGACGAUCAGCCACACUGGGACUGAGACACGGCCCAGACUUCUACGGAAGGCAGCAGUGGGGAAUUUUCCGCAAUGGGCGCAAGCCUGACGGAGCGACGCCGCGUAUGGGAUGAAGUAUUUAGGUAUGUAAACCAUUGUCAGUGGGGACGAAACAAAUGACGGUACCCACAGAGGAAGCAUCGGCUAACUACGUGCCAGCAGCCGCGGUAAUACGUAGGAUGCAAGCGUUGUUCGGAAUUACUGGGCGUAAAGAGUACGUAGGCGGUAUGGUAAGUCUGAUAUUAAAGACUGAGGCUUAACCUCAGGACUGUAUCGGAAACUGCCAAACUAGAGGACAAUAGAGGAAGUCGGAAUUCUCAGUGUAGCGGUGAAAUGCGUAGAUAUUGGGAAGAACACCAGUGGCGAAAGCGGACUUCUGGGUUGUUACUGACGCUGAGGUACGAAAGCGUGGGGAGCAAACGGGAUUAGAUACCCCGGUAGUCCACGCUGUAAACGAUGGAUACUAGGUGUAGCCGGUCUCGACCCCGGCUGUGCCGCAGCUAACGCAUUAAGUAUCCCGCCUGGGGAGUAUGGCCGCAAGGUUGAAACUCAAAGGAAUUGACGGGGGCCCGCACAAGCGGUGGAGGAUGUGGUUUAAUUCGACGCAACGCGAAGAACCUUACCAAGGCUUGACAUCUACAGAAUCUGUUAGAAAUAGCGGAGUGCCUGAAAGGGAACUGUAAGACAGGUGGUGCAUGGCUGUCGUCAGCUCGUGUCGUGAGAUGUUGGGUUAAGUCCCGCAACGAGCGCAACCCUCGAUGCUAGUUACCAUCAUUAAGUUGGGGACUCUAGCGUGACUGCCGGUGAUAAGCCGGAGGAAGGUGAGGACGACGUCAAGUCAUCAUGCCCCUUACGUCUUGGGCUACACACGUCCUACAAUGGCAUAGACAAAGGGCUGCAAGCUAGCAAUGGUGAGCGAAUCCCAUAAACUAUGUCUCAGUUCGGAUUGCAGGCUGCAACUCGCCUGCAUGAAGUUGGAAUCGCUAGUAACCGUAGAUCAGCACGCUACGGUGAAUACGUUCCCGGGCCUUGUACACACCGCCCGUCACACCACGAAAGUUUGUCAUACCCGAAACCGGUGAGCUAACCUUUUAGGAGGCAGCCGUCUAAGGUAGGGCCGAUGAUUGGGGUGAAGUCGUAACAAGGUA
RNAcentral lists this ribosomal RNA (1464 nucleotides) under metagenome. RNAcentral's name for it is "bacterial SSU rRNA". It matches the Rfam family "Bacterial small subunit ribosomal RNA". The record is from RNAcentral.